AUUGGUAGAGCAACUGACUUGUAAUCAGUAGGUUGGGGGUUCAAGUCCUCUUGCCGGCACCACUUUUAUAUGAUAU
This 76-nucleotide transfer RNA is filed under the name Bacillus subtilis subsp. subtilis 6051-HGW. Its description in RNAcentral is "tRNA-Thr". The stretch from base 1 to 59 matches the Rfam family "tRNA", at positions 14 to 71 of the family's 71-position model. Rfam says of the family: Transfer RNA (tRNA) molecules are approximately 80 nucleotides in length. Lineage: Bacteria; Bacillati; Bacillota; Bacilli; Caryophanales; Bacillaceae. The record is from RNAcentral.